RNAcentral lists this ribosomal RNA (379 nucleotides) under Brevundimonas sp. RNAcentral's name for it is "bacterial SSU rRNA". It matches the Rfam family "Bacterial small subunit ribosomal RNA", at positions 315 to 711 of the family's 1533-position model. Lineage: Bacteria; Pseudomonadati; Pseudomonadota; Alphaproteobacteria; Caulobacterales; Caulobacteraceae. The record is from RNAcentral.
GGGACUGAGACACGGCCCAAACUCCUACGGGAGGCAGCAGUGGGGAAUCUUGCGCAAUGGGCGAAAGCCUGACGCAGCCAUGCCGCGUGAAUGAUGAAGGUCUUAGGAUUGUAAAAUUCUUUCACCGGGGACGAUAAUGACGGUACCCGGAGAAGAAGCCCCGGCUAACUUCGUGCCAGCAGCCGCGGUAAUACGAAGGGGGCUAGCGUUGCUCGGAAUUACUGGGCGUAAAGGGCGCGUAGGCGGACAUUUAAGUCAGGGGUGAAAUCCCAGAGCUCAACUCUGGAACUGCCUUUGAUACUGGGUGUCUUGAGUGUGAGAGAGGUAUGUGGAACUCCGAGUGUAGAGGUGAAAUUCGUAGAUAUUCGGAAGAACACCA